AGGAGCAGUGGGGAGGGGGAUGGAAGCCAGAUGGAAAGGAAGGGAAGGGGAGGGGAGGGAAGGGGGAUGGAAGGAGGGGAGGAAGGGGCCCUACAUCUCUGCUUGGUGGUUCCUGACAAAUCAGAGAAUGAUUCAAAGUUAGACAAGAUCCCAAACAAGAGGCUCUUCCACUUUCCAGCCCAGCCAGUGCCUGCGAUGACUGCCACUCUCCGCCCCUACCUGAGUGCCCUAAGGGCCACACCGCAGGCUGCCCUCUGCCUGGAAAACUCUUCCUCCCAAGUGGUGGAACGACACAACGAGACUGAAGUGGAAGUCAGGAGUAGCAAAAAACUCCUGUUACAACCUGUGACCAUCAGCAGAAAUGAAACAAAAAGAUUCUGAUUGAGGGCUCCAUCAACCCUGCCCGGGUCAGCAUCGCUGUGAAACAGGCUGAUGACAUUGAGAAGAUUUUAUGCCACAAGUGUAUGUGCUUCAUGAUGAUGUGAGCAGAGAACUUCUUUAUCCUUCGAAGGAAACCAGGGGAGGGGAAUGAUAUUAGUUUUCAGAUCACCAACUUCCACACAGAGCAAAUGUACAAACACAAGCUGGUAGACAUUGUGAUUCACUUCAUGGAGAAGACUGAUAAGGAGAUCAGUGAGAUGAAGCUGUCAGUCAAUGCCCGUGCACGCACUGUGGCUGAGGAGUUCCUCAAGAACUUUUAAACCAUCUGGCUGGAACUUGUGGCCUUCCCCCCUACUCCCCUGUGUUCGUGAAGGUGUCCUGGAGUCACUCCCCGGAGGACCAGCAGCAGCAGCAGCAGCAACAGUGGGGGUGGCAGCAGGGAGCUGGGUCAGGUGGGCGUUGGAUGUGGGAGGGGGUGGUGUGCUUGCUACCUGUGCAAGAAAUCAGCAGUGGACCUGCCUCAAGGCCACACAUGCCUGGUCAGGCUGGCGCUGGCUUCUGAUGUUCAGUCCCCUGGGCCGGGACAGAUUUUUUUUAAUGUCUUAAAACUUAACUCUGUGCUUGUAGGAGACUUUAACCUUUUUUUCUUUUUUCUUUUUUUUUUUAAAACAACCUCCACCUCCAGUGGCUCUGACUGGUCCCAGUGAUUGUACCUAAUUGGUCGCUGUGGGUCUGGGCAGGCCUGGAGCCAGAAGGCGACCACCUUACCUCCCCCAUGCCACCCUGGGGUGGGGGGGGGUGGGCUCCAGCUCCUCUCCUUUAUCCUUUUAUUCCCAGGCCUCCUUGGGCCCAGUCUAACUGUGGGGACCCUCUGCCAGCUUCCUGAGGUUUGCCUAAAGAUGGCCAUCCAGCAAUGGUUGGGGACAGGGCUGAAUUGAUGACCUCCAGUCAUGGCUAGGGGUGGGAACUCAAAAGCCAGGCAACUUCUGGUUACAGCGACCAUUUACAGCCCUCCCAGCUGAGAGGGGUCCCUGUUAGGCCUUGUCUGUCAGUGUGGUGCCUGCACUACAGGUAGAGAGAUCAGCCCUCCUCCAGAACCUCCUGGCCAGGCCCUCCUCCUGCCUGCUCUGGCUCCUCUGCUCCCACGCCUGCUGUUCCUUUUCUGAUUCUGGUGGAUCCUCCCUCACCCAAUUAAAAUCUUUUCUUGUCCCUUUGGGGCUGCAAAAAAAAAAAAAAAAAA
Molecule: RNA transcript, 1621 nt
Organism: Otolemur garnettii (small-eared galago)
Lineage: Eukaryota; Metazoa; Chordata; Mammalia; Primates; Galagidae
Gene name: actin-related protein 2/3 complex subunit 4 pseudogene
Exons: 1
Source: RefSeq, a predicted model, not a curated record